Molecule: transfer RNA, 88 nt
Filed under: Methanobrevibacter sp.
Lineage: Archaea; Methanobacteriati; Methanobacteriota; Methanobacteria; Methanobacteriales; Methanobacteriaceae
Description: tRNA-Ser
Rfam family: tRNA
About the family: Transfer RNA (tRNA) molecules are approximately 80 nucleotides in length. Their secondary structure includes four short double-helical elements and three loops (D, anti-codon, and T loops). Further hydrogen bonds mediate the characteristic L-shaped molecular structure. tRNAs have two regions of fundamental functional importance: the anti-codon, which is responsible for specific mRNA codon recognition, and the 3' end, to which the tRNAs corresponding amino acid is attached (by aminoacyl-tRNA synthetases). tRNAs cope with the degeneracy of the genetic code in two manners: having more than one tRNA (with a specific anti-codon) for a particular amino acid; and 'wobble' base-pairing, i.e. permitting non-standard base-pairing at the 3rd anti-codon position.
Source: RNAcentral
GGAGGUUUGGCAGAGUUGGUCGAUUGCACUGGUCUUGAAAACCAGCGGCCGGUAACACGGUCCGUAGGUUCGAAUCCUACAGCCUCCG